This 472-nucleotide ribosomal RNA is filed under the name uncultured bacterium. RNAcentral describes it as "bacterial SSU rRNA". It matches the Rfam family "Bacterial small subunit ribosomal RNA", at positions 355 to 825 of the family's 1533-position model. The record is from RNAcentral.
UCGGGAAUUUUGGGCAAUGGGGGCAACCCUGAUCCAGCAAUGCCGCGUGAGUGAAGAAGGCCUUCGGGUUGUAAAGCUCUUUUGUCAGGGAAGAAACGGUAGUAGCGAAUAACUAUUACUAAUGACGGUACCUGAAGAAUAAGCACCGGCUAACUACGUGCCAGCAGCCGCGGUAAUACGUAGGGUGCAAGCGUUAAUCGGAAUUACUGGGCGUAAAGCGUGCGCAGGCGGUUGUGUAAGUCAGAUGUGAAAUCCCCGGGCUCAACCUGGGAAUUGCAUUUGAGACUGCACGGCUAGAGUGUGUCAGAGGGGGGUAGAAUUCCACGUGUAGCAGUGAAAUGCGUAGAUAUGUGGAGGAAUACCGAUGGCGAAGGCAGCCCCCUGGGAUAACACUGACGCUCAUGCACGAAAGCGUGGGGAGCAAACAGGAUUAGAUACCCGCGUAGUCCCUGAGCGGGCUGGCAAGGCGCAU